GACGAACCGUGCGAACGUUGUUCGGAAUCACUGGGCUUAAAGGGCGCGUAGGCGGGCUGGUAAGUCAGGGGUGAAAGCCCACGGCCCAACCGUGGAAGUGCCUUUGAUACUGCCAGUCUGGAGGGAGGUAGGGGCGUGCGGAACUUCCGGUGGAGCGGUGAAAUGCGUAGAUAUCGGAAGGAACACCGGUGGCGAAAGCGGCACGCUGGACCUCUACUGACGCUGAGGCGCGAAAGCCAGGGGAGCAAACGGG
Molecule: ribosomal RNA, 253 nt
Filed under: uncultured bacterium
Lineage: Bacteria
Description: partial 16S ribosomal RNA
Rfam family: Bacterial small subunit ribosomal RNA
Source: RNAcentral